RNAcentral lists this ribosomal RNA (484 nucleotides) under uncultured bacterium. RNAcentral describes it as "partial 16S ribosomal RNA". It matches the Rfam family "Bacterial small subunit ribosomal RNA", at positions 30 to 507 of the family's 1533-position model. The record is from RNAcentral.
AUUGAACGCUGGCGGCAGGCCUAACACAUGCAAGUCGAGCGGAUGAAGGGAGCUUUCUCCUGGAUUCAGCGGCGGACGGGUGAGUAAUGCCUAGGAAUCUGCCUGGUAGUGGGGGAUAACGUCCGGAAACGGGCGCUAAUACCGCAUACGUCCUGAGGGAGAAAGUUGGGGUUCUUCGGACCUCACGCUUUCUGAUGAGCCUAGGUCGGAUUAGCUAGUUUGUGGGGUAAAGGCCUACCAAGGCGACGAUCCGUAACUGGUCUGAGAGGAUGAUCAGUGACACUGGAACUGAGACACGGUCCAGACUCCUACGGGAGGCAGCAGUGGGGAAUAUUGGACAAUGGGCGAAAGCCUGAUACAGCAAGGCCGCGUGUGUGAAGAAGGUCUUCGGAUUGUAAAGCACUUUAAGUUGGGAGGAAGGGAAGUAAGUUAAUACCUUGAUGUUUUGACGUUAACAACAGAAUAAGCACCGGCUAACUUCGUG